UGAAGAGUUUGAUCCUGGCUCAGGACGAACGCUGGCGGCGUGCCUAACACAUGCAAGUCGAGCGGGGUUGUAUGGAGUAGCUUGCUACACUGUACAAUCUAGCGGCGGACGGGUGAGUAACGCGUGAGCAACCAACCUUGUACAGGGGGAUAACACGU
This 158-nucleotide ribosomal RNA is filed under the name Clostridiales bacterium. RNAcentral describes it as "partial 16S ribosomal RNA". It matches the Rfam family "Bacterial small subunit ribosomal RNA", at positions 1 to 151 of the family's 1533-position model. The record is from RNAcentral. Lineage: Bacteria; Bacillati; Bacillota; Clostridia; Eubacteriales.